Non-coding RNA from Dipodomys ordii (Ord's kangaroo rat), 65 nucleotides. The record is from Rfam. Lineage: Eukaryota; Metazoa; Chordata; Mammalia; Rodentia; Heteromyidae.
GGUGGCUCAGUGGUAGAGUGCUUGCCUUGCAUGCAUGAGACCCUGGGUUCGAUUCCUCAGCACCA